Molecule: ribosomal RNA, 839 nt
Filed under: Triticum aestivum (bread wheat)
Lineage: Eukaryota; Viridiplantae; Streptophyta; Magnoliopsida; Poales; Poaceae
Description: partial small subunit ribosomal RNA
Source: RNAcentral
ACCGCCGGCGUCCGCCAUGGGGCCGGCUCAGCCUCAGCUUCUGAUCGAGGUGCAGCUCCAGCAGCACCGGCAGUUUGCUGCAGGUCAUCAGCAGAGCGCAGUUCAUCUUCCAAAUCAUGCCCCGACCCCGGCUGCAUCUCCCCUUCCGCUACACGAACGCCUUGGGUGCGGUCUUUAGUCCUCACUGGUGAGCCCCUCCAUAUUAUUUUGUAUAGGGCUUCAGCCGCUGCUGCUUGCUUCUGUUUUAGGUGGUUGCCGCUUUGACAGGCGUUUGUGAAGCGAAUCAGGUUCGUUCUUCGGUCCGUUGAAGUGGCAGGGGAUUGUUCCGGACGUGGGACUCUGAGGCGCCCCUUCUUCGUGGGUAUUUUGCUGCUGCUUUUGUUUCUUCAUUGGAUAUGCCUCCAAUUUAAGCGCGCUGGCGAUGGCAAGAAGUUCGGCGUGGAAAACGACCAGCUGGUUCCUUUCGUGGUAUUUGACCGGCUGUGCAGUCGAGUAGUGUGACCUGACGAUUUUUUUAUUUCCGUCUUUGGUUUCCGGUUCUGAUGGUCUGGGGUGAUCUCUGCUCCCUGUGCAAUGUGAUCUUAUAAUCUACUCCCUCCGUUCCUUUAUAUGUACUAAGAGAAGCAUCUGACAUGUCCGUGCUGUACCGUCCCUGUUUCUCUUCUGGUCGACACUCUGGUUCUUUGCAUAGUGUUGUUCCGAUUUUGUAGGCUGAUUGUAACCGGAAUGAAAACCGCAGUUGUUAGGAAUAUCUUUUUGUUUUUACUGAGUGAAGCUACACCAGCCUCCUCGAAUCGAUGAUCAUGUAAGCAUCUAGCAGUCUUGAAUGUCACUCUCCC